AGUGAACGCUGGCGGUGGGCCUAACACAUGCGAGUCGAACGGCAGCACAGUAAGAGUUUGCCUCUACGGGUGGCGAGGGGCGGACGGGUGAGGCAUACAUCGGCAUCUAAUUUUUCGUGGGGGAUAACGUAGGGACACUUACGCUAAUACCGCAUAUGACCAACGGGUGAAAGCAGAGGAUCUUCGCACCUUGGGCGACAGAAUGAGCCGAAGUCGGAUUAGCUAGUUGGCUAGGUAAAGGCCCACCAAGGCGACGAACCGUAGCUGGUCUGAGAGGAUGAUCCGCCCCACUGGAACUUGAACACGGUCCAGACUCCUACGGGAGGCAACAAUUAGGGAUUUUUGACAAUGGGCGCAAGCCUUGACCAGCCAUACCGCGUGGGUGAAUGAGGCCUUCGGGUUGUAAAGCCCUUUUUUUGGGAAAGAAAAGCAGCAGGUUAAUACCCCGCUGAUCUGACGGUACCCAAAGAAUAAGCACCGGGUAACUUCGUG
RNAcentral lists this ribosomal RNA (492 nucleotides) under uncultured bacterium. RNAcentral describes it as "partial 16S ribosomal RNA". It matches the Rfam family "Bacterial small subunit ribosomal RNA", at positions 29 to 507 of the family's 1533-position model. The record is from RNAcentral.